ACCUUUGUGUAGUAGUGGCAGUAUUAUAGCUAAUUAGGUUAAUCUGAGGCACGAUUAUUGCUAGUUGAAAUCUCUCUCUCGUUUCCCAGUGUUCAGGAGCGUUGGAUUUUAAAAUAUUGCUAAUAAG
RNAcentral lists this small nuclear RNA (127 nucleotides) under Alligator mississippiensis (American alligator). RNAcentral's name for it is "U4 spliceosomal RNA". It matches the Rfam family "U4 spliceosomal RNA". Rfam says of the family: U4 small nuclear RNA (U4 snRNA) is a component of the major U2-dependent spliceosome. The structure of U4 snRNA from yeast and human has been reported. The record is from Rfam by way of RNAcentral. Lineage: Eukaryota; Metazoa; Chordata; Crocodylia; Alligatoridae.